GGACUACUGGGGUAUCUAAUCCUGUUUGCUCCCCACGCUUUCGUGUCUCAGCGUCAGUCUUCGUCCAGUUGGCCGCCUUCGCCACCGGUGUUCCUCUCGAUAUCUACGAAUUUCACCUCUACACCGAGAAUUCCACCAACCUCUCCGAGACUCGAGCCAAGCAGUAUCGGGUGCACUUCCCGAGUUGAGCCCGGGGCUUUCACAUCCGACUUGAAUGGCCGCCUACACACGCUUUACGCCCAGUAAUUCCGAACAACGUUUGCACCCUCUGUCUUACCGCGGCUGCUGGCAC
Molecule: ribosomal RNA, 292 nt
Filed under: uncultured bacterium
Lineage: Bacteria
Description: partial 16S ribosomal RNA
Source: RNAcentral